This 478-nucleotide ribosomal RNA is filed under the name uncultured bacterium. RNAcentral describes it as "partial 16S ribosomal RNA". It matches the Rfam family "Bacterial small subunit ribosomal RNA", at positions 28 to 523 of the family's 1533-position model. The record is from RNAcentral.
GACGAACGCUGGCGGCGUGCUUAACACAUGCAAGUCGAACGGUAAGGCCCUUCGGGGUACACGAGUGGCGAACGGGUGAGUAACACGUGGGUGAUCUGCCCUGCACUUCGGGAUAAGCCUGGGAAACUGGGUCUAAUACCGGAUAGGACCACUGCCUGCAUGGGUGGUGGUGGAAAGCUUUUGCGGUGUGGGAUGGGCCCGCGGCCUAUCAGCUUGUUGGUGGGGUGAUGGCCUACCAAGGCGACGACGGGUAGCCGGCCUGAGAGGGUGACCGGCCACACGGGGAGUGAGAUACGACCCAGACUCCUACGGGAGGCAGCAGUGGGGAAGAUUGCACAAUGGGCGCAAGCCUGAUGCAGCGACACCGCGUGAGGGAUGACGGCCUUCGGGUUGUAAACCUCUUUCAGCACCGACGAAGCGCAAGUGACGGUAGGUGCAGAAGAAGGACCGGCCAACUACGUGCCAGCCGCCGCCGUAA